UACUGUUAUAGUGAACAGUAGUUAUUUCUGUGAAUGUGGCCUGGGGUUGUGGUGGAGGAAGACUCUUUUUUUUUUUUUUUUUUUUAAUUUAACAUUUUUACAAGUUUGUAUCUAGUUAGCUAAAACAGGUGCCUACCAGCCUUAAUUUCUCCAGUCUUUCUUGAGACCAAACCCAGAAAGUCCUUCAGCCUCCAUGAUGAUUGGUCUAAGUGAAUGAGAGUGUUUGCUGUUGAUGUGCACUUUUCUCUUUGGUCCUCUUUCUCUAGCAUGAUUUUACUGCUUCAGUCAUCACACUCUCCAAUCCGCUCUCAUGAUCUUCCUACUUUAUUCUCGGAGAACAUUUUGGUAAUUGUCCCAGAGAAGCCCUAGUGAGGAUUAUCGUGUUAAAAGUGACAUGCUAAUGUCAUGCUUGUGUGGAUUUCCUUCAGCAGAUGAGCCAGCUCCCUUGUGAAGCUGUAAGAACAUGGUACUUACAGGAGUAAGGCUCAUGAAGUGGAGAGAUGAGAAGACUUUCGGGACAGAUUGUGUGGAGGCUGUCAUUCUCCUCGUGACAUUGCUGUGGGAGAAGAAGGAGGCAUUCCAUGUUGGCUUCAGUGAAGAACUUCAGAGAAGGAUGGAGCAAAUGCCCCAGAUGAAGCCUACACGACAUGAGUCAGAGAACUUUGGCCAGGAUGUCUGGGGAAAAAGUUUCCUCUUUCUUCUCUGGGAACUAUCUGGAGAGGGUUGUUUUAACGCUGGAUGUGAACAGCGACUCGUGUAGCCCCAGAAGCCUCUGACAGCCGCGUUGGAAUCAUAAGUUCUCAAAAUGAAGGUUGUGGUCUAGAAAGCAUAUUGUGAUUUGUACAAGAAGCACAUUCCCAUUUUACAAAAGUACAAAAGCACAUUUUGGACUUUUAACAAAUUCAACUGUUUUGUGUUCUGUGUGAGUAAAUUUUAGGUUGCCCAUCAUUGAAAACCAGUUUAAAAAAAAAUAAUGGGAGUAGAUAAUCCAGACAACAUUUUCUACCGUAUUUGUUGACUCCAGUUGUUGGAAAGUAAAAUUCUGGAGGAAGAGCUGGGAUAUCUCCAGGGGCUUAGUUUAACAUCAUCAAAGACUCUCCUGCUCCCCCUUUGCAUGUUACAGUAUCUGCUUUACCAAUCAGAGGGAAAUUUAUCAUGUAGGAUUUAAAGGAGAUAUUUAUGGCGUCCGUAAGCACAAUGACUUUGACUGGUAAGACGUCAGCUAUUCCCUUUAGGAGAUAAAAGGCCACAGCUGGUGAGGUAAUAGAACAGGAACUGUUUCAAUAUUUCAAAACAGAAGACCUUGUUGAAGAAGAGAGAUUUUAUAUGGCAUUUGCUUUUAUUUUUUUCCUUCUAUGAUGAACAGGUGUGGGAGUCAAUUCAAGAAGGCAGCUUAGAUGAUUGUGAGACAAGGGAGGGAGGUAAAUAUUUUUGAUGGUUGGGGAAGGACUGAGAUUUUCAAACUUCAAACCAAACAUGUAGUCCAAGCCUUUUCUACCUGUGUACACAAAGGAAAGAGGAAACUAAGUCAAUGUAAAAUAGGCAGUUGUUGUUUGGAAAAGUUAUGAAAUCCUCCUGGCUACACAAAACAGAAAGCCCAGCUAUGUGACAAGUGUUUGAUGUAAAUAUGCAAAUGCAGUUUUAAAUUCAUUAUACCUAAGGGAACAAGGUGUCUGGGUAAGGGGGGUUCUACUGUUUCUUAAGCUUACAAAGCAGGUCCUUGAAUAAUGUCAUUUAAGUUCAAUGUAAUUUCCUUAUAAUGUUGAUGAGAAAAAAAAAAUGGAUUCCUAGCUGAAGUCAUUGUGUGUGUGGACUUUGCAUGUCCUCCCCAUGUCUGGUUUCCUCCCAAAACCCAAAGCUGUGUCCGUUAGAUGAAUCAGUGUGUCUCACUGGUCCCAGCGUGAGUGAGUGUUGCUAUGUAUGAGUGGGCCCUGCAAUGGGAAUGGUGACCUGUCUGGGGCUGGUUCCAGCCUGGUACCCUGAGCUACCAGAAGUGGCUCUGGCCCCUUGAGCUUCUGAACUUGAAUAAGUGGGUAAAUUAUUAUCUUACUUGUUUUUGUUAACCUUUCUUAAGUGUAUGUGUAGCUCACCUUCCUUUCAAAGUUAUUUUGAUGUUUAUUUCAAUAUUAGAAGUGUUUGGGUCUUUCUUUAGAAGUUUGGUGAUUUUUUUUUUUGUGACCAAAAUAUGCUGUAGCAACUUAACUCUUGUUUAGAUCGGUUAGCUUAUAGCAAAGCUAUUUUCGUUAUGUGUUCUUUCACUUGAAGUUCCAGUUUCCAAGAACCUAUUGUCCAAGAUAAGUAAGGACUUACUGUACUUCUGGGCACACAAUGGGCUAAGCAUCUUAUAUUAUCAAAUGAGAUGAAAUAAAAUAUAAUGCUAAAAUGAUGUUAAAAAGUUAUCACAUUAUAACAAAUUAUAAGAAUUAUUAAAAUGACAGGAUAUAUUAAAGCACUGUAAAAAGUAAAGCUUAGUAGAUGCAUUAGAGGUUAUGAUUGGCAUUGCUAACAUUAUUAUUAUUAAAAUCCUUCAGUGCUGGGCACCACUUAUUUCUACCCUUAUAACCCCAUGGACCUGUACUGUAUCUUGUAAUAAAACCCUCAAUAAAUAUUUGAUACAUUGCUGAAUAAAAGGUAGGUUGACUUCUUAAAGUACCUGCAAAAUACCUCAUCCACAAGAGAAAAAGGCAAGAGAAUAACCUUGCUUCAUGAAGAAAGUAUCGAUCAUUCAGGCGUUAAAUUUUCCAUUUGUUCAUUUUUUUUUUUUUCCAGCAGAAACUCUUGGAGAAAUUGCAUAGCAUUAUUUUAAACAAUUCCCCUCAGAGGCCCAUUAGAUAGGCUUUUCUGCAGACAGGAUAGAUGUCUUUUACAGCUGGUCAGUGUUUAGUUCUCCCAAUACUUGACUGAAGAAAGAAAAUAACUGGGAUGUAAGAUAUCUGACCUAUAGAUUGCUCAUUCUCUGCAUGAGUCAAUCUUUGAAGUCGGAAGAUAAAAAUCACCAUUAAUCACAAAACUUUCUUACCAUCAUAAGGUCAGAUAUCCCAGGGCCCUUCCAAAAUUACCACGUGGACUGGCAUAGGGCGAGAUUGGCUCAGCUGUGGUCACUUUUAUGACACAGAGCUCCUUCCCUCUGGUUGAUGAUAUUGAAUGAGCAGGAAGGAAGAAAAGAAAUAAAAGUCAGCUAACCAUGGUUGAGUCAAUCCAGCCCACGGCAUUCAAAGGCUGAAGGGCCACCUGACACUCCAGAGGCUGCUGGAAAUGCAGGGCUGUUUCAUCCUGGGUAUUUUCCAGAGAGAAGUACUGAGAAGCUUAAAGUAUUUGAAUGGGAGGAGGAGAAGCAAACUACAGCUACUUCAGAGGAUAACACUAAACACCUAGUCCACUCUGUAUACACUAGAGGUGCUGUUAAUUUUCUUGUGGAGAAGGAACUGUCUUUAGAAAAAUAUCUCAAAAAGCCACUGAAGUAGAAAGUUUCAGCAUGCUGAAGAUGGAACUUGAGAAGAUAGAAAGUUCUGGGUCCUUAGUGGCAUGACUGAGUCGCUGGACCACUGUUGGAACCACCCUAUGUCUUAGUUUUUAAAUCUCUUUACUGUCUAAGACAUUUUUAGUGGAAGUAUUUAUCUCUGGCAUCCAAUAAGACCUUUAAGGAUUUGCAGUUUUAUCUAUGUGUUUGUUUAUUGUCUGCUCCACCCUACUUGAUUGUGAUCACCAUGACAUCAAUGACUGUGCAUCUUUUGUUCACUCAGGAAUAUCCAGUGCCUGCCACGCAGAGUGUGCUGCAUGUACAUGCUCACUUGAUAUCUGUUGUAGCAAAGAGUGAAAGAGAGAAGGAAUAAAUGCUUUCUCCCAUGAUGAGGGGACAUGGGGUCCAGACAAGCUGGACCAUUAUCCCAGGCCCAGCGCUCUGCUUUAUUUUUUUUUUUCCAGUACAGCAUCACAUUCAGUUACAACAGAGUGAAAUCUCCUAAGAACACGGCUGAUUAUUUCUUGAUUGCAAAAAGGACUCACUAACCCUCCGAUCUCCUGUAACGCAAGUCAAUGCUCUUCUAAUCUCCUUUUAGACAGCACCUGUACUUGUCAGUCAACGCAUGGUAGUCUGGGCUAGCCAAGUGAAUCCUUAACUAAACUGAAGUGGUGCUGAUCAUUCAGCCUUCAGAAUUGAAAAAAUCACAGCAUUGCUGAAGGAAAAGGCAUUUUUCAGGUAGAGAGGCAUAAGUCUUGGGCCAGGAAGCUUCAGUAAGAAGACAAUAAUUUCAUAGAAAUGCAUUAGCUUGGGGAGUCCAACUGCUGUUCUUGCACCUAAGAAAUUCAGAGGAGAGCUCUUUGCUUCCUUGCUCAUUCCAGUGGUUAGGAGUCAGGCCUUGUCCCAGAAUGUUCAGGUUGAUGCUUACCAUUUAAGCCUUAAGUUAAUCCGUUGAAGCUCCAGGCCUUUUAUGGGAUUCACAAGAAUAAACAGCAUUUAACUAUAGAUUCUCAAAGGUCAAAUCUUCAACCUAAAUCUGAGGAUUCAAAGCAUUGUUCACUCUAAUAAUUCUGCUAGUUCCCAACUUCACACAAACCAUUUAUUUCAGAAUGUAAACCUUGAAUAAUCUUUUCUUACUUGUAGUUUUGUGGUCAUUUAGAAAACAGCAAUACUCUAUUUUAAUUGGAACUAAGUGACAAAAAUAAGCCACUUCAUUAGUUUUCUAGAUAACGGUAAAAUGUAAGAACAAAAAGCCACUUCUUUUUCCACGUGGUAUUUUACAGUGACUUUUUUUUUUCUUUUUACUGCAUUUUAAAAUUCUACUGGAGGCAUUUCUCGGAAACUUUCUCUUACUUGUUAAUGAAUCAUCCCCUUUGAGAAUCAGCAGGUGAUUUCAGGAGCCCAGGUGUGAAUAAUUGAUUUAAGGUCGACCUUGUGGGUGGAGCCAAUGUUUACCAAGUGCAUUCAUUCGACAAACAAUUGAUGAACACCAAAUUAGAGUUCAAUUCCAGAUAACAAAAACCAGUUGAACUAAUUUCAUCAGAAAGCUACUUAAUAGGGGUAAUUAGGUGCUUACAAAAUAGAAGGGCUGGAAGCCCAGGAUCUAGGCUGACACCCAUGUAGCUAGACCCUGGAAACUGGGAUUCCAGCUGCACAGAACAGCCAAGUGUGUUCAUGACUGUGCUUGUUUGUCAGCAGGAGCAUGGCCCUGCCUUGUGAUACUGUGUUUUUCAGCUCUCACGUGGCUGAGUCUGUUUGGAGAAGUUGGUUCAAGAUGCAGCUUGACUCUCAGGGAGUCUGAAUAACUACCCUUAAUAUUGUUAGCUUUCUGGUCUCCAGCACACAGUAUGAUUUUCUGGAAGAAGGAUUUAAUGUAGUUAAAUAUGCCAACGUGUAAUAUCUGAUGUACAUUUCUACCCUGCUUGGGAUACAAAAUAAAUAAAAGCCAGUUUCUGUCUGUAAGGAGUGUACAGUUUAGUAAGAAGACAGACUCCUGAACAAAGAUGUAUACUUCAAUGUUGCCAGCCCAGGAUUAGAGAUGGGUAUUAAGAGGACCUCUGAUGAGUGAUAUUUUGCAUCUGGUGCAGGACAGUUCCCUAGGUGGCCUUGGACCAAACCAGUCCUCCCGCUUUCUCACUUGUAGUUUUAAGAAUAACUAGAAUGUGCUGGGAAUGCAACAUCCCGAGAUAAGGCCUAGGCUCUGUUCCAGUCCCCGCUAGAAACAGGAUGUCCUUCAGCACAUUAAUCCAGCAGGUCAUGUUAUCCCUGGAGUAGAAAACCCAGAGACGGCUACUUUCCAGGGUCCUGCAUCUGGGGUGCAAGUGAGGCACACGCAGAUGAGACUCCACCUGCCCUGGGCAGCUUUCCUGAGCCUUGAGAAACCAGCUCACCAUGAAUCCAAGGUGUCUGCUGUUCCUUGCCACCAUUUCAUGGAACCUGUUGUAUGUACCUAUUCAUGUUUUCCAUGUUUCAAAUAUGACUGAACCUGACAUAUAUAAGAACGCAAAAGAUUCUUCAAAAUCAAACUGUGUCCGGAAUUGGUGGGUUCUUGGUCUCACUGACUUCAAGAAUGAAGCCACGGACCCUGGCGGUGAGUGUUACAGCUCUUAAGGUGGCGUUUCUGGAGUCUGUCCCUUCUGAUGUUCAGAUGUGUUCGGAGUUUCUUCCUUCUGGUGGGUUCGUGGUCUCGCUGGCUCAGGAGUGAAGCUGCAGAUCUUCACGGUUGCUAGUAACACAAUAAUAAAGCUGCUUUAUUUUCCAGUGAAGAUGUAUGUGAUAGGGAGUGGAGGAAGAAAAAGGCCAGAAAAUUCCAUAGUUAGCAAAUAUACCUUUCUUACUUAAAAUUCUUUUUCCAAUGUGAGCCUUCUAAAGAGUUACUGAGAAAUUAGGUGAGCUCACCUCAUUUAAUGCAAUAGAUAUGUUUCUGAAAAAUAAGCAAUACAUAGGACAUUGGCCAAUUAAGAAUUCUGAUGAAGAAGAAUUUUCACAUCCGAAAGAGUAAAAAUGAAAAACGGUACAAAUGUAGUGGCUUUUAAAUUUCAAAACAAAUUAUUUUGAUAAGAUAAAUAUUCCUCUCAUAAAGUGAAAAUGGAAGAGACUGCUUGCUGGGUGUUCGUCAAAAUGGAGUUAGAUGGUCUGUCCCAGACUCCCCUGUUGUUAGUUCUGAGAACAGAAGUAAUGGUGCUUCUUCAGGACUGGCUCAUAGAAACCUGCCGUGUUCAGCCCCCACAAUCCUCUCCCUUCUGCUGGCUGGAAACAAAUGACAACGAAGCCUCACGUCUUGGAGAAACCACACUGCUGAGGAACUCAAGUCCUAGAAGAACCAUUUGAAGAGACCCAUCUCACUAAAGAAAAUCACACAAGCAAGAAGUAAACUUCAUUGUAUCUAUGUAUUUAAUUGUCAUAACAGUCUACCUUAACUGAUACAGCAAAAAUUCGCUCCUUUUCUGGACACCCAGUUUCAAAAUCUCAGUGUCAUUUUUUACUUCUCUCUUUUCAGGUUGUUUAAUAUAAUAAAAUUUGUGUGUGUGUGUGUGUGUGUGUGACAAGGUCUUGCUCUGUUGCCCAGGCUGGAGUGCAAUGGCACGCUCCCAGCCCACUACAGCCUUGACCUCCAAGCUCAAGUGUUCCUCCCACCUCAGCCUCCAGAGUAACUGGGACUACAGGCAUGGGCCACCACACCCGGCUAAUUUUUGUACUUUUUGUAGAGACAGGGUUUCACCAUGUUGCCCAGGCUGGUCUUGAACCCCUGGGCUCAAGCGAUCUGCCCAUCUCCACCUCCCAAAAUUCUAGGAUUACAGGCGUGAGCCACUACACCCAACCAUUUUAUUUUUAAAAGUUUUCUUUGCAAUAUUGCUCACAUUGUUUCCUUCCUUUUUAUUCUUAUUGUCACUCCCAAGUUCAGGCUUUUACCUCUUUUAUUUGAAGUAUUAAAGUAUACUUCUAAGUCAUUUCUGUGGCUUAAAUUUAUUUAAUCCACUCCAUCCUGCAUCCUACCAACACAAUAACAUUGUUUCAUCAUUUCAAAUUGAAAUCGAAACUCUCCAAAGCUUUCCUACUGCUGAAUGGAUAAAAACACAAAAUCCUCAAUAGAGAAUUCACUUUCUGGAGCCAACUUACCUUUCCAAAUAUUUCCCAUUAUUCCCUAAGAGAAUCCUCCUGACAUACUCACUGUUUUUCAUAUACACUAGACCUUUUCUCAACCACCUAUUUGUCCACACAUUUUUCUUCCAGCUAGAAUAUUAUUUUCCCUUUCUCACUUCUGAAAGUCUUACCUGUCAUUCAUGGUUCAUCUCAAGCUCAAUCUUCUCCUUGAAACCUUUAAGCAUACCCUCCUGGAAAGUUAUCUCCCUCACCUCGAACCACCCCCCCAGCCCCUGCCAGAAUCUCCUAUAGGGCUGAUUGUUUAUCCUGCUUAUUAUAUAUUUAUAAAACACUCCACUGAGUUAUUAAUUACCUUUUCCUUGACUGUGAAAACAUGACUCUGGCUUCAAGGUAGGACCAUUUUUUCUCUAACACUGUGUCUCAUACACUUCAGCACAAGCUCUUAGUGGCCUGUGCAUUCAACUCCCAUGCAUAGCCACUUCCUCCAGGCAAACCCCACAGCCAGCAUCCAAAUUUUAAAAGGGGUUCUGUCAUCAACCCAAAGUUUCUUCUCUCUCAAGGAACCUAGAUUUAGAAGUUGAGUCUAGGCCACCUGUCUAAGAUACAGUAGUUAAUUUAACAUAUUUUAUUGCUCUCAACAUCACAGAGAAAGAGCCUUACUGCAGAUCUCAUUCUUUCCUUCAAAGCCAGUUUGCCCAUUCCUCUUCAGAAACCUUUAAGAGUGGUUAUUGGGAGAGAUGAUAAGACUCCAUCUGCUUAAGGAGUCCCUCUAACCCAGAAUAGUAGAUGUAAACACCUGACAUGUUGUUAUAGAGUGAAUGUUUGUGUUCCCCUCCAAUCCAUAUGUUGAAAUUCCAAGCCCCAAUGUGUUCGCAUUGGGAGGUGAGGCCUUUGGGAGGUAAAUAGAUCAUGAAGGUGAAGUCUUCAUGAAUGGAUUAGUGUCCUUAUAAAAGAGACCCCAGAGAGCUCUCUCAUCCUGUUUCUGCCAUGUGAGGACACAGCAAGAAGUUGGUCAUCUGCAACCUGAAGUGGCUCCUCCCCAGAAACUGAAUCUGCUGGGGUCUUAAUGGUGGGCUUCCCAGCCUCCAGAAUUAUGAGUGUAAAUGUUUGUUGUUUAAGCUACCCAGUCUAGGGUAGUUUGCUAUACUACCCCAAACUGACUAAGAUACAUAUGUUUGUCAUCCACUCAGUUGUUUUCCUAAAAUAAAUGAAGUCAGCUCCAAAGAUGAAUUUUCAUCUCUUUUUGUAGAGAUGGGUGCUAUUAUGCUUUUUAAUGAACGUUUAUUCACAAAUAAAAACAAAACAUACCUCUCACAUCCUCAGAGCAAAUACUUACAGUAACAUACAUUGAUGCUCACAAGCUCAUUACAUUUCAUGUUUACUAUUCAUUGAUAACAUUACAUUUAUUAUUAUCACAUAAACCAUACCUCCUGUUUAUGAAGCACUUAUGGUGUUUUAGUCAAUGUUAUGGUACCUGCUAUAUAUGGUCUCUAAUUUUAUUUUAACUUCCUAUAGUAAACAAUAUUAGGUGCUAACUCAAUAGUCAUUUUCUAACCUGAUUUUUCCUUGCAAACAGAACCCCAAAUUUGUUUGGAGAGAAAUGUGUCCAAAUCCAAACAAAGCAUCACCAUUUCUUUGAACCAUCAUAAGGAUCUAAUCAUUUUUUUUGUUUUCCUAGCCUCCCUCUAGCCAGAGAUACUGGGUAACACAGUUCUGGCUGAGAAGACAAGAGAAGAAAUCUGCUAAGCAUUUCUGGAAAAAGUUUUGAUUUGCUGAUGAAAGGGAACAGACAUACUGGUUGCCUUCCUUUUCCCUUUCAGCUGCCUAGUCGCCAUUUUGCAAUGUGAAACAACAUCAUUAAGGAAAGAUCAAAACAAUUGCAGAGAUGUCAACCAUCAUGCCUUUGAAUUCAUGCUCACAGUUGUCUGCCUCCAGAUUCAGUUAUAUUUGAGGUACUCUUUGAGUUAAGAUCCUUCUCAUUUUAUACCACUUGCAGCUGAACACACUCCCCACUAAUUUACCUUGUAAGGUGAAUUUCACUUAAAGGAAGAACACAUAAGUCAGGGAAUGACACAUAAUAGUAAAUGCAGGGUUUUUUUUUCUAUUUAUGAUAUAGAUUUAUACAACUGCUAUGUUCUUGACAUUGUACCAAUUUCAAGGUACAAAUAAGACAUAAUCCCUAAAAGCAUGGGUUACAAAAUCUGGGUUCAGCAUAGGGUUUCAUGAUAAACAAACAAACACAAAUUGUUUUUUAUUGUAUUUCCUUCUUCUUCACAUCUUGUGAAUCUAAGAAAAAUAUCAGAAUGUUCGUUUCAGCUCAAUUUUUGAAGAGUACAAUCUCUAAGUAAAAAGAAACUGUAAAUGUUUAUAAAUGUAACUAGAGCCUAGUAGAAAAUAAAGCCAUGCAAGUGUGUUUAGGUCCUAAUCUUAUUAACCAGAUUAGUGACACACAGUCUGCCCAAAGUUAAUGAAAGCAGUGAGGUUCUUUGACUUCAGUAGAUACACACCUGAACCACAGAGAUAAACUUGCUUCAAACCUGUGCGAUAUGUUUUUCUAAGCAUAAAAUUGAGCAUGAUAGCUCCAAUUUCAGUCUCAGUUUCAAAGCUUCCCUUUCCCGAAUAAGAGGCAAACUGUCACAUUAAAUUUAGCGAAUUAAAAUCAGUUAACUUGAAAAGCUCUUGGCCCCAAUGCAGAGAAAAUUGUUUGCAUAAUAAUAACUUAUUUCCUUUUUUAAAAGGCGGACUUCUGCCUGAAUGCUUCUAUAAACUUUUAAGAAAAUGGGAUUCUCAAAUCUCAAGCGUAUUGGGUUGCAGUUGGCACUUGAAGCUGGGGACAUGCAGAGCUGGCUAAUGUCAGCAGCUGUAGGACUGUCAAGAAAAAUAGGUGGAAGGGACACUUUUAUUAUAAGUAGACUUGCAAGGCAUUCCAACUUUCAGCUGCUCAACCCAGUAUACCAAACACCUCUGACUACCUCAAGUGUGGCCUUGCUGAGUGCUUCCAUAUUUAGGGGUUAUUAGACAGGACUGAAGCAAGUGACCUCUAAUGAGGAAGCAAUCAGGGCAGGCUCUGACCCUCCUCAGAGGUACUGUAAUGAACUGGCCUUGGAAGGUCUUUGAUGCUGCCUUUGCAUACUGUAUAUGAGCUUUCUGCUCAGUCAUUUCCUCUGCGCUCUGGUAGCACAGCAUGAAGCCUGCUAUUAGAAAAAAGGUUUAUUGCUACCUUGCAAACAUUUAUUGGGUAAUAUCUAAAACAUGGUGUCAAGUUAUAGUAAUGCGCUGUUCUGGGAAACUUUUUGAGAAUUUUAGUGUUUCAGAAGAUGGUCCUUUGAGAAUUCUUCUGUUUCAGAAAUGAAAAGUGGUAGAUAUAUACGUGUGUGUGUAUAAUAUGCUCAUGUAUCCUCUGAUUACUUGCCAGAGAUGUACCAUUUUUCUUUCAAGGGAAACAUCUAUUCCUAAGAUAGAUUAUUCUUGAAAUUUUCAAAGAGUAUGCCUCAGAGAACAAAUAUACAAAUUUACCAUUUGUCUGCAGAUAUUAUUUGCCUGUGUUUAUGCUAGGUCACUGACACCACACACAUUUUAAUCCCCAAGGGAAUUUAUUUGGUGGUGUUAUCUACUCAACCAAGCUGAAGCUUAUCUAGUUCACAAGAAAAUAGUCAAUAUGAGCUCCAUGCAGACUUAUGCUGUUAAUGCAGAAGAGGGAAAGAGAAUUUACCUUUAACUGUUAUGAUGAAAAUGUGUACAAUGACACUUAACUAUGGCAUGCAAAUCCUCUUUUCCUCCCCCACAGGUAUCUGGAAAGUACCUUAUACAGCUAGGUGCUUAGAAAAUGUUUAUUGAUUAAAUAGAUGAUGAUUAACAGAUUAAUAAAAGGUGAAAGUUACUAUCUAUGCAUUUUUUUCCAGUUUGAUGUUCAAAAACUUACCAAUGGAUGGGGAGUUGCUUUUCAUAAACAAUUUAUAAAGCACUGUCCUGGAUGAAAUUGUAAAAAGGACGUGGUGUCAAAGAUGACUCAGUGGAGUUGAGGUGAAAAAUGUGUAAUGAGCAAAUCAUGGUAAUUGGGAUAUCCAUCACCUCAAACCCUUAUCAUGUCUUUGUGUUGAGGACAUUUCAAAUCUUCCCUUCCAGCUAUUUUGAAAUAUACAACAAAUUAUUGUUAAGUGUAGCCACCCUAGUGUGCUACUGUACACUAGGACUUACUUAUUCCUUCUAUCUAACUGUAUUUUUGAACCCAUGAACCAACAUCUCUUUGAUUUCCAGCCUGGGCUUUGGUGUCCCUUUUUUUGUGUGUUUUCAUAGGGCCCUAUAUUUAUAUUAUUUGGGCUCAACACAUUGCAAAACUGCAGAGGAGUUUACUAUUAUGCACAUUAUUAUUCUAUAUUCUGUCACUCUAAGAAACAAUAAGUGACCAUCUGAAGAGACCAUCUUCUAGCACCAAAAUAUUUAAAGAUGAUUAAGAAUAAGACAAGGGUCUCCUUAUUUACAAAAUGACAUAAUUGAAAGGACUAGAUUAUUAGCAACCCCUCUGGAAAAGGAUUACUCUUUUGGAUUUUAAUUACAUAACUAAUAUAUCAACUGAAGUGCUAUGCCCUGACGUGUGCUCCCCUCAGCUUCACGAUCCAUAUGUUGAAACCCAACCCCUUAAUGUGAUGGCAUUUGGAGAUGGGGCUUUGGAGAUAUUAGUUAGGUUUAGAUAAGGUCAUGAGAAUGGGGCUCUUAUGAUGAGAUGAGCACCUUCAUAAAAAGAGACACGAGGUAUUUCUCUUUUCUCUCUUCUCUCUCUCCCUCUUUCCCUCCCUCCCUCUCUCCUCCUUCUCUGUCUUCCUCCUUUAUGUGAGGACAUAGCCAGAAGGCAGCUGUGUCUGCAAGCCAGGAAGAAAGCCCUCACCAGGAAUCAACUAUAUCAGCACCUUGAUCUUGAACUUCUAUCCUUAGAACAGAGAGAAAAUGAAUUUCUAUUCUUGAAGCCACCCAGCCUACGGUAUUUUGUUAUGGCAGUCAAGCUGAAUAAGAUAUAUAUCUACACUGAGACCAUUAAAAGUAGUUCCUGAUUGGCAGAAAGGUUGUAUAUAUAAAUGGCUCAUUGAAAGUUCUCACUGCAUGGAUGAGAAAUCUCAGAUUGAGGUUCUUAAAUUUUGAAAAAUAGAAAUAAAGGAAUUAACGCAACAGUCUUCUAAUCUUUCUGCCUUCAGUUUUUGCUCCCUUUGACUAUUCUCUGUACACUGCAUCCAGAGGUUAUAUUUUGACAGGGAAAUUCAAAUGAUGUAUAUUAUUUUUCUACUCAAAAUCUCCCCACUGGCACCCUAUUGUCCUAAAGCAUAAACUGCUAUUGCAGUCAAUUCACCUGAAAUAAGCUCUCUUCCUGCCGCGUCUUUUACAUAGAUUGUUUACUCCUCUUGUGAUCCCAGUUCCCUGCUUCUCCCUCUCCUCCACACUUUUCAAUAAUUAAAUUAUACUCAGCGUUCAGAAUUCAGUCAGGAUAUCCUACCUUCUUUGGUCAGCCCCCCAGGGUUUUCUGAAAGCUGGGAAGAGGCCCUCUUCUGCAAUCCCCAUGCACUGUAGACACAUCCCCUUUAGGUCCCUAUGUUGUGAGUGACUGUUUUCUUGUCUGUCUCUGCCACUAUAUUAUGCACUCUUAGAAGGCAAGGACUACUUCUCUUCAUUGUAUACCUAGAACUUAACCCAAAAACUGGCAUGUGCAUGCACCCAAGUUUUCACUGAGAAAAUAAUUGCAUGAGUCACUUGCUUUCCAGGUCUUUCUGACUACUAUGAUGGUGAUGACUUGUAGUCACAACAUGAAAUUGGUUUCUGCCCCUGAGGAUUGUAUCUCUCUACUUUGCAUGACCCCUAGAUUUCAAUCCCUCUUUAUUCUCUCCUGAUCCUUGGGUUCCAGUAAUUCUCUGGGUUUCAAAUAUAAGCACAGUGUGAGGAGCUCUUCAUUCUUGACAGAACUUUCAGGCAAGAAAGAAAUAGAUUCCUGGGAAUAUCUAUAUUCCCUCUGGCCCUAUUCCUUACUCCCAAAACAUAAUAACCCUUUUCUUAGGUUUUUUCUCUCUACCUUUUUACUUCUUCCUUAUUCUCACGAUUACAUGAAUUAACUGCCUACAGAGUAUGAAUUCAGACUGAAUUAAUAUGUAUUUAUGUGACAUAAAAGAUCUCUUUCAGUACUUCUUAAUCUUACCAAAUGAUGCAUACUAUACAAUAAAAAAUUGCAAUUUUUUCAUUAGCUUUUUUUUUUUUUUUUGGUUUCUGGUAGGGUUUUCCUUUAGUGGUAUUUUAGCAAGUAAUACAAUCCAGUUAUUUUUAAAAGUAUAUUAGUAGAAACUCACCAGAAGUCAAUAUACUGGUCCAAGAAUAAUUAACUGAUUGACUUUAUUGUUUAUGAAACUUUGUAAUGUUCCUUUUGAUGUGAAUGCUUAUCUUAGGGGGAAAUGCACUUUUCAAAUAUAAAUGAUCAUGUUUAAACAAACUGCUUCUAGUUUCAAAUAUGGCACUGAAAAACAAAAUAAAAUAAACACUCAAUUUUUAUUUAAAAUGGUGGGCAAUUUACUUUCUUUUUUGUUUGGGAUCUGAUUCAAGAGCCUCAAUUCAGCUUAUUGCAGAACUAACUAAACUAAACCUCAAAGGAAAAAUUUUAAAAAUGAUUUUUAUAGCAAUGACAUCAUUAUAUAAAAUGUUGGCAUUUCAUAUUUUCCAAACAGAAACUUGGAAAUAACAGAAUACAAGUUAAAUAAAACAAAUUGAAACUAAUCCAAUUCUCUGUUUUUCUUUCCCUUUUUAAAAACCAAGCUUUUUAUUGCCAGCUUUUACUUUGCAUAAUAAUAUAUGAUGAAUUGUCCAAGAAAGACCCAGUGGGUACAUUUCUCUUAGAAAUAAGCCUCUCUAUGCAAUAGGAGGCCAAGUUCUAGGGCAACAUACUUAUAUAAUCAUGUAAGAUUUUCCUUAUUGCUAACAAUUGACCAACCUGGGCAUUUGUCAAAUAUGUAAACACAUGGAGGUCACUGGUCACCAGAGGAUUGAAAACACAAAUCACUCUAUUCAUAUCCAUCCCUAGUUCUAGAAAAACAAUACCAAAUUAAAGCAUAUAUCCUACUAGCAAUAGGACUAGCAAAAUUAUUUUGGUAUACCAGAGCUACAUGUUAUACAUUUUGCUACUUAUGGAUUUAAUUACUCAGGAUAAUUAUACACAUGGCUACAACUGUAAACUUUAUAAUAUUUUGCUGGCAUACCUUCCAAAAGAGUUUGAAAAGCUAUGAAUUUAAUUCUAUAUUUGCAUUUGACAUAUAAAGUAC
This 14853-nucleotide long non-coding RNA is filed under the name Homo sapiens (human). Its description in RNAcentral is "HSALNT0022112". Lineage: Eukaryota; Metazoa; Chordata; Mammalia; Primates; Hominidae. The record is from RNAcentral.